GUGCCAGCCGCCGCGGUAAUACGGAGGGUGCAAGCGUUAUCCGGAUUCAUUGGGUUUAAAGGGUGCGCAGGCGGAUACUUAAGUCAGUGGUGAAAUCCCGGGGCUCAACCCCGGAACUGCCAUUGAUACUGAAUAUCUGGAAUACGGUUGAAGUGGGCGGAAUNGUAGCAUGUAGCGGUGAAAUGCAUAGAGAUGCUACAGAACACCGAUCGCGAAGGCAGCUCACUAAGCCGAUAUUGACGCUCAGGCACGAAAGCGUGGGGAGCGAACAGGAUUAGAUACCCUGGUAGUCCACGCCGUAAACGAUGAUAACUCGUUGUUGGCGACACACAGUCAGCGACUAAGCGAAAGCGAUAAGUUAUCCACCUGGGGAGUACGAUCGCAAGGUUGAAACUCAAAUGAAUUGGCGG
Molecule: ribosomal RNA, 410 nt
Filed under: uncultured bacterium
Lineage: Bacteria
Description: bacterial SSU rRNA
Rfam family: Bacterial small subunit ribosomal RNA
Source: RNAcentral